UCAAAUACUUUUUUACUGGAGUAAAAUUUUUGGCUACUCUACCCACCUCUGUUUGUGUUAAACUAAAUAUCCUCUCUAUGCACGUUGAAAUUGCCCAUUUAUAUAUAAAAACUGGGUGAACAGUAUUAGAAAUGUUAGAUCAGAUGAUUUACUGUAAAUAGUUCCGCAGUGCGUUUGCUCUGUAGUGUUUUGUGUGCAUGCUGUGUUGUGAAAUGACCUCUUUCCUCUGAUCUUUGCCCGAAGCCUUGUUCCGGUCCAGGCCUCAUCUGUCAUCACUGUUAAUCUCCAAGCAUGUGUUUCUCCACACUACAUGCACACGUGUGUGUUUGGAUGCAAACUCACACACACCCUAGCAGGAGGAGAAAAUAUUGGGCGCCAGCCCCUCCGAAGCCUGGCACCGACAUCACACAGCAAACCAAGGAAGAGAUGAGUCUCUUUGGAGAUGGCAGAGCGCCGCCUUGGAUCUCUGCUGGCUUGGACUGCAGCUUCGCUGGCUCUUGGAAGCUGAUCUGGAGCACUAUUUUUGGAAUAAAAUUUUCAGCGGUCAGCUUGGUUUUCUUCUUCACUCUGAGUGGUGACAAGGUCUUCCUCACCCAGCCGGGUUUGUAGCAGCUCCCAAUGUUUUGAUCUUUAUAAAUAUUCCUGUCAUUCCACUUAUAACUAGAACUUUUUGAUUGAUGGGAGGAACAUGAGACAAAGUCUUCCAUCAUCUGAGAUCCCAAAGUGAUUCUGGAGGAGCUGCAGAGAUCAACAGCUCAGCUGAAAAUCAGUGAUACCUGAAGAUGAAGAUGUAGAGCACCGAGAGGUUGAGAGGAAGUCCCAGAAUGAACUCCACAGUUAACAAGCCAGAAAGGACUUGAUUUUCCUCUCUUCCCUCUUAAACAACAAAUUCAACAGUUCCUUUCACGGAUCCUUGCAGUGAUUGAGAAAUCCAGACAAUCCUUUGCCAUCCAUGACAAAAGAUCCCAGG
This is a long non-coding RNA of Xiphophorus hellerii (green swordtail), 970 nucleotides long. RefSeq lists it as uncharacterized. The record is from RefSeq and is a predicted model, not a curated record. Lineage: Eukaryota; Metazoa; Chordata; Actinopteri; Cyprinodontiformes; Poeciliidae. The transcript has 5 exons.